CCUACGGGUGGCAGCAGUGGGGAAUAUUGCACAAUGGGGGAAACCCUGAUGCAGCGACGCCGCGUGAGUGAAGAAGUAACUCGUUACGUAAAGCUCUAUCAGCAGGGAAGAUAAUGACGGUACCUGAGUAAGAAGCCCCGGCUAACUACGUGCCAGCAGCCGCGGUAAUACGGAGGAGGCGAGCGUUAUCCGGAUUUAUUGGGUUUAAAGGGUGCGUAGGCGGAAUAUCAAGUCUGCGGUAAAAAUCCGGGGCUUAACCCCGUCGUGCCGUUGAAAAUGAUGUGCUUGAGUGGGCGAGAAGUAAGCGGAAUGCGUGGUGUAGCGGUGAAAUGCGUAGAUAUUACGCAGAACACCGGUGGCGAAGGCAGCAUACCGGCGUCCAACUGACGCUGAAGCACGAAAGCGUGGGUAGCGAACAGGAUUAGAUACCCGAGUAGUC
RNAcentral lists this ribosomal RNA (439 nucleotides) under uncultured bacterium. Its description in RNAcentral is "partial 16S ribosomal RNA". It matches the Rfam family "Bacterial small subunit ribosomal RNA", at positions 338 to 795 of the family's 1533-position model. The record is from RNAcentral.